Long non-coding RNA from Papaver somniferum (opium poppy), 767 nucleotides. RefSeq lists it as uncharacterized. Lineage: Eukaryota; Viridiplantae; Streptophyta; Magnoliopsida; Ranunculales; Papaveraceae. The record is from RefSeq and is a predicted model, not a curated record. The transcript is spliced from 4 exons.
UUGAGCUUAUUGUGCUCCAUCUUUUUACCCAUAACGGAAAAAUUAACACCACCAUAAAUCUUGAUUAGUUUUUGUUAUUGAGAAGUCUGUGUGUUUUUUUGGGUUCGUUUUGGAUUUAUUCUCCGAAAUGAUAGAUUGAUUGUCUUUUGUUAAAAGAGAGGUUCUUCAAUGUUUUAAUUUCUGAAAUUUUGUUGUCGUUCUAAUUUGAUGAAUACCUACAUUUUCGUUGCAGGUUGUGGGUUUCUUAGCGGUGGCAAAGGUGUAUUCGAUUCUCUUUUCAAUAGGAAAUGUUCUGACCUUAAGGGUUUCUUUAAUUUCAUUUGCCUAUGAUUUUCUUUGUGGCUGUGUCAAUCUGCACCAUCUUACCAGAUUUGAAGUGCAGUUUGUGACCGAGAACCCGAUCCUAAGAAAUACUUUGUUCGAUCCUUCGUAUCUGCUGAUUGAUCUGAGUUCCGCUCUCCUGCUCUCUUUCUGCUUCUACUCAAAUUUUGCUUCUGCUUUUGGAUUACGAGCUAGAGUUUUUCUGAAGAUCUCUUUGAAGAUUUACAGUGCAGCAUAUAAAUACUCGAAUUCGUAAGCAGCAGAUAUAUACUCGAAUUUGUAAGCAGUUUAGCGGAUACAUGUUCUUUUUGUAAGCAGCGCGACAAAUAUGUACUCAGAUUUGUAAGUAGUGUAGCAGAUAUGUACUCGAAUUUAUAAGCAGUGUAGCAGAUAUGUACUCGAAUUUAUAAUCAGUGUAGCAGAUAUGUACUCGAAUUUAUAAUCAG